CCCUGAGUGGUGUAAAUGAUUAACACAUUCGGCUACUAAUCGAAAGGUUGGAGGUUCAAAUCCACCCAGAGGUG
RNAcentral lists this transfer RNA (74 nucleotides) under Loxodonta africana (African savanna elephant). It matches the Rfam family "tRNA". From Rfam's summary of the family: Transfer RNA (tRNA) molecules are approximately 80 nucleotides in length. Their secondary structure includes four short double-helical elements and three loops (D, anti-codon, and T loops). Lineage: Eukaryota; Metazoa; Chordata; Mammalia; Proboscidea; Elephantidae. The record is from Rfam by way of RNAcentral.